GAACCCAAAUUUAUAAACAAGGGGCAAUGUCCUCUGACAAGGCUGGGCAUCCAGUUCCAAUCCAAAGGCUGCCCCUUUGACCAGGCCCAUCUUCUCCACCUCACAUCAGACAGCCAAUCGGCUGCCCAGACCUCGAAACCUCAGUAACCUAGAAGGAAAUGGACCUUGGCAAACGUGUGUCAGGAGAGGAUGACUUGGAGGUGUCCACCGUGUUUCUUACUGAAGGUGUCUAAAAGUCAAUUGGGGUCAAGGAACAAGCCUCUACUCACAUGCAUGUGGGCAAAUGAAGUCACAGAACAAAUAACCUACCCUGCAUCCAGGCACGGAGUCCAGGGACACCCCCUGCUGCUGCCUAAGAGAAAGUGGCCCAAGAAGCACUGGCCCGGUGCCUGCUGAUGCCAGGAGCCCUCUGCUACUGCCUGACACAAGCAUCCUGCGCUUCCCCCUCCCAGGCCCUCCCCGAAAGCGUGGGCCACAGGCCCCAGAAGGUCAUCCUCCAGGCUGUGAUCGUCACACAGGGGGUCCCACAUGGGGUCCUCACAGGCCUUCAACCCAGCACAAAUCGUGGCCUGGUUUGACCUUUGAAAUAUCUCAACAUCUAAAAUUCAGAGCUUUUUUGGAAUAUUUAUUUUCCAUAGA
Molecule: long non-coding RNA, 639 nt
Filed under: Homo sapiens (human)
Lineage: Eukaryota; Metazoa; Chordata; Mammalia; Primates; Hominidae
Description: HSALNT0053762
Source: RNAcentral